AACGAACGCUGGCGGCAUGCCUAACACAUGCAAGUCGAACGAGACCUUCGGGUCUAGUGGCGCACGGGUGCGUAACGCGUGGGAACCUGCCUUUAGGUUCGGAAUAACUCAGAGAAAUUUGAGCUAAAUACCGGAUAAUGUCUUCGGACCAAAGAUUUAUCGCCUUUAGAUGGGCCCGCGUUGGAUUAGCUAGUUGGUGGGGUAAAGGCCUACCAAGGCGACGAUCCAUAGCUGGUCUGAGAGGAUGAUCAGCCACACUGGGACUGAGACACGGCCCAGACUCCUACGGGAGGCAGCAGUGGGGAAUAUUGGACAAUGGGCGAAAGCCUGAUCCAGCAAUGCCGCGUGAGUGAUGAAGGCCUUAGGGUUGUAAAGCUCUUUUACCCGAGAUGAUAAUGACAGUAUCGGGAGAAUAAGCCCCGGCUAACUCCGUGCCAGCAG
RNAcentral lists this ribosomal RNA (441 nucleotides) under uncultured bacterium. RNAcentral describes it as "bacterial SSU rRNA". It matches the Rfam family "Bacterial small subunit ribosomal RNA", at positions 29 to 514 of the family's 1533-position model. The record is from RNAcentral.